This 700-nucleotide ribosomal RNA is filed under the name uncultured fungus. RNAcentral's name for it is "SSU rRNA". It matches the Rfam family "Eukaryotic small subunit ribosomal RNA", at positions 856 to 1580 of the family's 1831-position model. Lineage: Eukaryota; Fungi. The record is from RNAcentral.
GACGCCGUAAUGAUUAUAGGGACAGUCGGGGGCAUCAGUAUUCAAUUGUCAGAGGUGAAAUUCUUGGAUUUAUUGAAGACUAACUACUGCGAAAGCAUUUGCCAAGGAUGUUUUCAUUAAUCAGGAACGAAAGUUAGGGGAUCGAAGACGAUCAGAUACCGUCGUAGUCUUAACCAUAAACUAUGCCGACUANGGAUCGGACGAUGUUAUUAUUUGACUCGUUCGGCACCUUACGAGAAAUCAAAGUGCUUGGGCUCCAGGGGGAGUAUGGUCGCAAGGCUGAAACUUAAAGAAAUUGACGGAAGGGCACUACCAGGGGUGGAGCCUGCGGCUUAAUUUGACUCAACACGGGGAAACUCACCAGGUCCAGACACAAUGAGGAUUGACAGAUUGAGAGCUCUUUCUUGAUNCUUGUGGGUGGUGGUGCAUGGCCGUUCUUAGUUGGUGGANUGAUUUGUCUGCUUAAUNGCGAUAACGAACGAGACCUUAACCUGCUAAAUAGCCCGUAUUGCUUUGGCAGUACGCUGGCUUCUUANAGGGACUAUCGGCUCAAGCCGAUNGAAGUAUGAGGCAAUAACAGGUCUGUGAUGCCCUUANAUGUUCUGGGCCGCACGCGCGCUACACUGACAGAGCCAGCGAGUACUCCCUUGGCCGGNAGGCCCGGGUUAAUCUGGUUAAACUCUGUCGUGCUGGGGAUAGA